Molecule: transfer RNA, 81 nt
Filed under: Fidelibacterota bacterium
Lineage: Bacteria; Pseudomonadati; Fidelibacterota
Description: tRNA-Ser
Rfam family: tRNA
About the family: Transfer RNA (tRNA) molecules are approximately 80 nucleotides in length.
Source: RNAcentral
ACCACAGGUGGUCUUGACGAUCUUCUAUAGAGCAUCAGAUUUCUAAUCUGAGGGUCACAGGUUCGAGUCCUGUCCGGGGUA